This 258-nucleotide ribosomal RNA is filed under the name uncultured bacterium. RNAcentral's name for it is "partial small subunit ribosomal RNA". It matches the Rfam family "Bacterial small subunit ribosomal RNA", at positions 26 to 285 of the family's 1533-position model. The record is from RNAcentral.
AGGACGAACGCUGGCGGCGUGCUUAACACAUGCAAGUCGAACGGUGAAGCCCCUUCGGGGGUGGAUCAGUGGCGAACGGGUGAGUAACACGUGAGUAACCUGCCCAUGACUCUGGGAUAACUGCGGGAAACCACAGCUAAUACCGGAUACGACCUGUGAAGGCAUCUUCUGCAGGUGGAAAGAUUUAUCGGUCAUGGAUGGACUCGCGGCCUAUCAGCUAGUUGGUGGGGUAACGGCCUACCAAGGCGACGACGGGUA